Molecule: ribosomal RNA, 504 nt
Filed under: uncultured bacterium
Lineage: Bacteria
Description: bacterial SSU rRNA
Rfam family: Bacterial small subunit ribosomal RNA
Source: RNAcentral
AUGGCUCAGGAUGAACGCUAGCGGCAGGCUUAACACAUGCAAGUCGAGGGGCAACGCGAGUAGCAAUACUUGGCGGCGACCGGCGCAAGGGUGCGUAACGCGUGAGCAACAUGCCCGUAUCAGGGGGAUAAUCCAGGGAAACUUGGUCUAAUACCCCAUAGUAAUUUUGUAAGGCAUCUUAUAAGAUUUAAAGCUUUGGUGGAUACGGAUUGGCUCGCGUGACAUUAGCUGGAUGGUAAGGUAACGGCUUACCAUGGCUAUGAUGUCUAGGGGUUCUGAGAGGAAGGUCCCCCACACUGGAACUGAGACACGGUCCAGACUCCUACGGGAGGCAGCAGUGAGGAAUAUUGGACAAUGGAUGGAAAUCUGAUCCAGCCAUGCCGCGUGAAGGAAGAAGGUCCUAUGGAUUGUAAACUUCUUUUGUAUGGGAGCAAUAAGGCCUACGAGUAGGUUGAUGAGAGUACCAUACGAAUAAGCACCGGCUAACUCCGUGCCAGCAGCCGC